GACGAACCGUGCGAACGUUAUUCGGAAUCACUGGGCUUAAAGCGUGUGUAGGCGGGUGCCUAAGUAACUUGUGAAAUCCCACGGCUCAACCGUGGAACUGCUUGGUAUACUGGGUAUCUUGAGCCACUUAGGGGCAACCGGAACAAACGGUGGAGCGGUGAAAUGCGUAGAUAUCGUUUGGAACGCCAAUGGUGAAAACAGGUUGCUGGGAGUGUGCUGACGCUGAGACACGAAAGCCAGGGGAGCAAACGGG
This 253-nucleotide ribosomal RNA is filed under the name uncultured bacterium. RNAcentral describes it as "partial 16S ribosomal RNA". It matches the Rfam family "Bacterial small subunit ribosomal RNA", at positions 524 to 776 of the family's 1533-position model. The record is from RNAcentral.